UACGGGGGGGGCAAGCGUUGUUCGGAAUUACUGGGCGUAAAGGGCUCGUAGGUGGCCAACUAAGUCAGACGUGAAAUCCCUCGGCUUAACCGGGGAACUGCGUCUGAUACUGGAUGGCUUGAGUUUGGGAGAGGGACGCGGAAUUCCAGGUGUAGCGGUGAAAUGCGUAGAUAUCGGGAGGAACACCGGUGGCGAAGGCGGCUCUCUGGACCACUACUGACGCUGAGGCGCGAAAGCUAGGGGAGCAAACAGG
RNAcentral lists this ribosomal RNA (253 nucleotides) under uncultured bacterium. RNAcentral describes it as "partial 16S ribosomal RNA". It matches the Rfam family "Bacterial small subunit ribosomal RNA", at positions 524 to 776 of the family's 1533-position model. The record is from RNAcentral.